GUGCCAGCCGCAGCGGUAAUACGAAGGGGGCUAGCGUUGUUCGGAUUUACUGGGCGUAAAGCGCACGUAGGCGGGCUAAUAAGUCAGGGGUGAAAUCCCGGGGCUCAACCCCGGAACUGCCUUUGAUACUGUUAGUCUUGAGUAUGGUAGAGGUGAGUGGAAUUCCGAGUGUAGAGGUGAAAUUCGUAGAUAUUCGGAGGAACACCAGUGGCGAAGGCGGCUCACUGGACCAUUACUGACGCUGAGGUGCGAAAGCGUGGGAGCAAACAGGAUUAGAUACCCUGGUAGUCCACGCCGUAAACGAUGAAUGUU
RNAcentral lists this ribosomal RNA (312 nucleotides) under uncultured Ochrobactrum sp. RNAcentral's name for it is "bacterial SSU rRNA". It matches the Rfam family "Bacterial small subunit ribosomal RNA", at positions 505 to 817 of the family's 1533-position model. The record is from RNAcentral. Lineage: Bacteria; Pseudomonadati; Pseudomonadota; Alphaproteobacteria; Hyphomicrobiales; Brucellaceae.